UUGAGAGCAGUUCCCCCCUCCCCAUUCAUAACCUCCCUCCCCCGUUCCAACUUAAUCCGCUUUGGAUUAGGCUCAGAGGCCCGGUGGAACGUAAAUCAUAACGCGGAUGCACAGAAAACCGAGGCAGUAGGGGCGGGGGUUCGGUGCCGGUGCACAGAGAGCAGCUGGAUCUCCCCGAGCCCCGGAGUUCGGGCAGAGGCCGUGGCCAAGCUCCCCAGGGCGUCCGGCCCGUUAGAUGCAUCCUUCCUGCUGAAAAUGACUUCAUCCGUGGGGAAGAACGGCUGUUGUUCAUUAUGGAGCUGGAACAAUGACAGCACGGGUCUCUGGGAAACACUGGCCCUCCCUGCGGGGCACAGGAAACGGAACAUCAGCCUCCCUGCACGCCUGUGCCCUCCGAUUCUGGUAACACGGGCCAGACUGGCCGAGGUGAAAUGAGAAGGGCUGCAGGGCCCCUGUGCUGUGUC
Molecule: long non-coding RNA, 464 nt
Organism: Phyllostomus discolor (pale spear-nosed bat)
Lineage: Eukaryota; Metazoa; Chordata; Mammalia; Chiroptera; Phyllostomidae
Exons: 2
Source: RefSeq, a predicted model, not a curated record